This 305-nucleotide ribosomal RNA is filed under the name uncultured bacterium. RNAcentral's name for it is "bacterial SSU rRNA". It matches the Rfam family "Bacterial small subunit ribosomal RNA", at positions 335 to 655 of the family's 1533-position model. The record is from RNAcentral.
UACCUACGGGGCGCAGCAGUGGGGGAUAUUGCACAAUGGAGGAAACUCUGAUGCAGCGACGCCGCGUGAGGGAAGACGGUCUUCGGAUUGUAAACUUCUAUUAACAGGGACGAAAGAAAUGACGGUACCUGAAUAAGAAGCCCCGGCUAACUACGUGCCAGCAGCCGCGGUAAUACGUAGGGGGCAAGCGUUAUCCGGAAUUACUGGGUGUAAAGGGUGAGUAGGCGGCAUGGUAAGCCAGAUGUGAAAGCCUUGGGCUUAACCCGAGGAUUGCAUUUGGAACUAUCAAGCUAGAGUACAGGAGA